UGAACGCUGGCGGCAUGGCUAAAACAUGCAAGUCGAACGCGUGUAGCAAUACACGAGUGGCGAAAGGGCGAGGAAUAGAUUCCUACGUACCCCGGAGUCAGGGAUAACCAUCGGAAACGAUGGCUAACACCUGAUGAUCUCGAAAGAGCAAAGUUUACGCUCUGGGAGCGGGGAAUCUCCUAUCAGUUAGUUGGUGAGGUAACGGCUCACCAAGGCUAAGACGGGUAGCGGGUGUGAGAGCACGGCCCGCCGCAUCGGGACUGAGACACUGCCCGGACUCCUACGGGAGGCUGCAGUAACGAAUCUUCCGCAAUGCGCGAAAGCGUGACGGGGCAAUGCCGCGUGUGGGAUGAAGCCCCUCGGGGGUGUAAACCACUGUCAGGGUGCAGGAACACAAUGACCAUACCCGAAAGGAAGCACCGGCUAACUCUGUGCCAGCAG
RNAcentral lists this ribosomal RNA (441 nucleotides) under uncultured bacterium. Its description in RNAcentral is "bacterial SSU rRNA". It matches the Rfam family "Bacterial small subunit ribosomal RNA", at positions 30 to 514 of the family's 1533-position model. The record is from RNAcentral.